UUCAUUGAUUAUCGUGCACGCGAGAAAACUAAGGAGAUGUGUCUACAAAAUAGUGAAAAUCAAUCCAAAUUGACAAUCCCACACACUGGAGGAUCAAAGAGUUUGGCAAGAAAAAAACAUGAGAUGGAAAUUGAGAGUGGUCAGCCAGUGAGUAGGGGUUUAUUAUACAUCGCGAGACAUAAGAAGAAAGACGGAUCUUUU
Diospyros lotus (date-plum) is the source of this 201-nucleotide long non-coding RNA. RefSeq lists it as uncharacterized. The record is from RefSeq and is a predicted model, not a curated record. Lineage: Eukaryota; Viridiplantae; Streptophyta; Magnoliopsida; Ericales; Ebenaceae. The transcript has 3 exons.